RNAcentral lists this transfer RNA (90 nucleotides) under Candidatus Pelagibacter sp. RNAcentral's name for it is "tRNA-Ser". It matches the Rfam family "tRNA". From Rfam's summary of the family: Transfer RNA (tRNA) molecules are approximately 80 nucleotides in length. Their secondary structure includes four short double-helical elements and three loops (D, anti-codon, and T loops). Further hydrogen bonds mediate the characteristic L-shaped molecular structure. tRNAs have two regions of fundamental functional importance: the anti-codon, which is responsible for specific mRNA codon recognition, and the 3' end, to which the tRNAs corresponding amino acid is attached (by aminoacyl-tRNA synthetases). tRNAs cope with the degeneracy of the genetic code in two manners: having more than one tRNA (with a specific anti-codon) for a particular amino acid; and 'wobble' base-pairing, i.e. permitting non-standard base-pairing at the 3rd anti-codon position. Lineage: Bacteria; Pseudomonadati; Pseudomonadota; Alphaproteobacteria; Candidatus Pelagibacterales; Candidatus Pelagibacteraceae. The record is from RNAcentral.
GGAGAGGUGGCCGAGUGGUUGAAGGCGCACGCUUGGAAAGCGUGUAAAGGGGAAACCCUUUCAUGGGUUCGAAUCCCAUUCUCUCCGCCA